GGGCGCUUGGUCUAGGGGUAUGAUGUGAGUAGCUGUAAUGUAACAUUUGACAACCAGGCACUAAUCCGAUACCUAGUUUCGCUUCGCAUCAUUUGAACGUGUGCUUGUGAAAGGUCGUGGGUUCAAUUCCCACAGCGUCCA
Molecule: non-coding RNA, 141 nt
Organism: Lepidopterella palustris CBS 459.81
Lineage: Eukaryota; Fungi; Ascomycota; Dothideomycetes; Mytilinidiales; Argynnaceae
Source: the annotation of a GenBank genome assembly